Long non-coding RNA from Helianthus annuus (common sunflower), 776 nucleotides. RefSeq lists it as uncharacterized. The transcript has 4 exons. Lineage: Eukaryota; Viridiplantae; Streptophyta; Magnoliopsida; Asterales; Asteraceae. The record is from RefSeq and is a predicted model, not a curated record.
ACAAAUAUUUUCCUUAUCUCUUGUAACAAACUAGCGAAACAAAUGGAUCUAAGGAUCACAGUCUAGUUUAUCGAUAGGCUAUUUUCAAGCUCAGAAACCAACCUUAAAGUCAGUGACAUCGCAUCUCUUCGUACCACUUGUGUGUUUUGCUCAAAACAAUCACCAGCGCGCCACCAUAAACGAAGUCCGACGACUUUGCAUCACGACAACCAGCAUUCCGUUCGACCCAACUUAACGGUCCCUGAAUAAUCGAUCGUCUCCGUUCAUGUCAUUGAGCCAAUUUCGUUUGCCUGUUCUAAGCGGCAGCGGACCUCCGACGUAUUGUUAGAAGAUAUUUGUUGAAUCUCUAUUACUUGGUCUACUAUCUCUCUCUAAGGCUGUCACUUUAACUCAGUUCCGAUUGAUAGUUCGAUAGCUCUAGUCGGUUGUCUUCGAUAAACUCCCAUCAGUUACUAAGGUUUUUGAUUGUUUAAGGACGACUAAAUUCUUUUGAUUUGGUUUGCUUGCUAAUAAGGUAUUGAAUGGGAACAACAGGAAAUAGUUUCAUUGUUCACUACUGAUGGAUGGGCUUGUUCAAAUGGGAGGAUCAACGUGACAACGUGUCUCUUCAUCAAAAGUGUACAAGCCUUUCGUUACUUGUCACAAUCAUGCUGUUUUUGCAAUUUGUUUAAUGCCGUAAAACACUAAAUCGAAGUUGAACAACAUAUGAUGUUGUCUUGCCAUAAGUUUUUAUUAGGGUACCGACAUAAAUCCAUAAUCUUAACCGUGUUCAGUCC